UCUCAGAUUGAACGCUGGCGGUAUGCUUAACACAUGCAAGUCGAACGGAAACGAUACUAGCUUGCUAGUAGGCGUCGAGUGGCGGACGGGUGAGUAACGCGUAGGAAUCUGCCUGAUAGUGGGGGAUAGCCCGGAGAAAUUCGGAUUAAUACCGCAUAAUCUAUUCGUAGUAAAGUGGGGGACUUUCGAGCCUCACGCUAUCAGAUGAGCCUGCGUAAGAUUAGCUUGUUGGUAGGGUAAAAGCCUACCAAGGCGACGAUCUUUAGCUGGUCUGAGAGGAUGAUCAGCCACAUCGGGACUGAGACACGGCCCGAACUCCUACGGGAGGCAGCAGUGGGGAAUAUUGCACAAUGGGGGCAACCCUGAUCCAGCAAUACCGCGUGUGUGAAGAAAGCCUGAGGGUUGUAAAGCACUUUCAAUUGUGAAGAAAAGUUAACG
RNAcentral lists this ribosomal RNA (438 nucleotides) under uncultured bacterium. RNAcentral describes it as "bacterial SSU rRNA". It matches the Rfam family "Bacterial small subunit ribosomal RNA", at positions 22 to 458 of the family's 1533-position model. The record is from RNAcentral.